This 505-nucleotide ribosomal RNA is filed under the name uncultured bacterium. RNAcentral's name for it is "partial 16S ribosomal RNA". It matches the Rfam family "Bacterial small subunit ribosomal RNA", at positions 28 to 507 of the family's 1533-position model. The record is from RNAcentral.
GACGAACGCUGGCGGCGUGCCUAAUACAUGCAAGUAGAACGCACAGUUUAUACCGUAGCUUGCUACACCAUAAACUGUGAGUUGCGAACGGGUGAGUAACGCGUAGGUAACCUGCCUGGUAGCGGGGGAUAACUAUUGGAAACGAUAGCUAAUACCGCAUAAUAUUGAUUAUUGCAUGAUAAUUGAUUGAAAGAUGCUAUUGCAUCACUACCAGAUGGACCUGCGUUGUAUUAGCUAGUAGGUGAGGUAACGGCUCACCUAGGCGACGAUACAUAGCCGACCUGGGAGGGUGAUCGGCCACACUGGGACUGAGACACGGCCCAGACUCCUACGGGAGGCAGCAGUAGGGAAUCUUCGGCAAUGGACGAAAGUCUGACCGAGCAACGCCGCGUGAGUGAAGAAGGGUUUCGGAUCGUAAAGCUCUGUUGUAAGAGAAGAACGGGUGUGAGAGUGGAAAGUUCACACUGUGACGGUAUCUUACCAGAAAGGGACGGCUAACUACGUG